ACUUAGUCGGAACAAACCUAGUGAAAAUAAGAUACUGGCGCUUUGUUAUGUUUCAGGAAAAUCAAAACCAAUUGCAAAAGUUUGAUCUGUUUUGUACGUGAAUUCUUAUGAAGAUUUACACAAGACAAGCGCUCUCAAGAAUGUAAAAUGUUCCCGUUGAGCAAUCCAGGAGUAUAGUAUAACGCUGGCAGGUGACAUCUAUCGAAUGAAGAAAAACUGAAGCCAACAUUUAUUGGACCUUUCGAAGUGCAAGCAGUCCUACCAAACGAUCUAUAUGCCUUGAGAAGAGUAGGAGUCCAGAAUAGAACCAAUGAGAU
Molecule: long non-coding RNA, 317 nt
Organism: Coccinella septempunctata (seven-spotted ladybird)
Lineage: Eukaryota; Metazoa; Arthropoda; Insecta; Coleoptera; Coccinellidae
Exons: 2
Source: RefSeq, a predicted model, not a curated record